Molecule: small nuclear RNA, 106 nt
Filed under: Jaculus jaculus (lesser Egyptian jerboa)
Lineage: Eukaryota; Metazoa; Chordata; Mammalia; Rodentia; Dipodidae
Source: RNAcentral
GUGCUUACUCUGGCAGCACAUAUACUAAAUUGAAAUGAUACAGAGAAGAUUAGCAUGGCCCCUGCACAAGGAUGACACAGAGAUUCGUAUUUUUAAGCCUCAUUAA